RNAcentral lists this ribosomal RNA (424 nucleotides) under uncultured bacterium. RNAcentral describes it as "bacterial SSU rRNA". It matches the Rfam family "Bacterial small subunit ribosomal RNA", at positions 29 to 456 of the family's 1533-position model. The record is from RNAcentral.
AUUGAACGCUGGCGGCAUGCCUUACACAUGCAAGUCGAACGGUAACGCGGGGCAACCUGGCGACGAGUGGCGAACGGGUGAGUAAUAUAUCGGAACGUGCCCAGUAGUGGGGGAUAGCCCGGCGAAAGCCGGAUUAAUACCGCAUACGACCUACGGGUGAAAGCGGGGGAUCGCAAGACCUCGCGCUAUUGGAGCGGCCGAUAUCAGAUUAGGUAGUUGGUGGGGUAAAGGCCUACCAAGCCUACGAUCUGUAGCUGGUCUGAGAGGACGACCAGCCACACUGGGACUGAGACACGGCCCAGACUCCUACGGAGGCAGCAGUGGGGAAUUUUGGACAAUGGGCGCAAGCCUGAUCCAGCCAUGCCGCGUGCGGGAAGAAGGGCCUUCGGUUGGUAAGACUCUGUGUAGGGGGACGGAAGUAAGU